AAAGUCGUAACAAGGUUUCCGUAGGUGAACCUGCGGAAGGAUCAUUAACACGUUCCACGUAUCAAACCCGCGCACUCGUUUUCACUCUGAUUAAGCUCCAGUUUAGUACCUGUAAACCUCGCAUUUCAGUCCGCAUAGAUAAGGAAACAGGCUGUAUAAGCCUGGCGGCUGGCGAUUGGAUUAUGUCCUCAUUCGAAAGAAUGAGGGAGGCGCUGGAUGUCUGGUCAUGUUUCUAUUCCUUAUCGCUUUUUCACAAUCAUUUACCCCAUUCCGAAACGUACUAAUUUAUAUUUCUUUCUUAAGAAAUUGGAACAUUUGACUGCUUUACCGCAGUUGGUUGCUUCUGAAACACUAAGAAAAACCUUAAGAACAACUCUUAACAACGGAUAUCUUGGCUCUC
This 400-nucleotide unclassified non-coding RNA is filed under the name Basidiomycota sp. Its description in RNAcentral is "partial contains small subunit ribosomal RNA, internal transcribed spacer 1, and 5.8S ribosomal RNA". The stretch from base 1 to 47 matches the Rfam family "Eukaryotic small subunit ribosomal RNA", at positions 1785 to 1831 of the family's 1831-position model. The record is from RNAcentral. Lineage: Eukaryota; Fungi; Basidiomycota.